RNAcentral lists this ribosomal RNA (253 nucleotides) under uncultured bacterium. RNAcentral describes it as "partial 16S ribosomal RNA". It matches the Rfam family "Bacterial small subunit ribosomal RNA", at positions 524 to 776 of the family's 1533-position model. The record is from RNAcentral.
CACGUAGGGCGCGAGCGUUGUCCGGAAUUAUUGGGCGUAAAGGGCUCGUAGGCGGUUUGUUGCGUCGAAAGUGAAAAUCCGGGGCUUAACUCCGGACUUGCUUUCGAUACGGGCAGACUAGAGGUAGGCAGGGGAGAGUGGAAUUCCUGGUGUAGCGGUGGAAUGCGCAGAUAUCAGGAGGAACACCGGUGGCGAAGGCGGCUCUCUGGGCCUUACCUGACGCUGAGGAGCGAAAGCGUGGGGAGCGAACGGG